CACACACCGCCCAUCGCUUCAUCGAAGUUGGUUUUAGGCGAGGUGGUGCGAUUUGGCAUUAUCGAACCUGAGAUCAGCAACGAGGGAG
Molecule: ribosomal RNA, 88 nt
Filed under: uncultured bacterium
Lineage: Bacteria
Description: partial 16S ribosomal RNA
Source: RNAcentral